UGGUAAAUUACAGGGUAGUUCACCUUUGGCACAAGCAAUAGUAGAAACCAUGCAAUGCAAAUGUAUGGCAGAUUGUACUCUAGUUCAUGCUAGUUUCUGGCAGGUAGCACGUAGCAUUGCAUGGUUCAAAGAUCACAGAUCUCAUGCCAAAGGAGAUUUGCCCUGCGAUUUUCUG
RNAcentral lists this microRNA precursor (175 nucleotides) under Leersia perrieri. Its description in RNAcentral is "pre miRNA mir-399". It matches the Rfam family "mir-399 microRNA precursor family". Rfam says of the family: mir-399 was identified in both Arabidopsis thaliana and Oryza sativa computationally and was later experimentally verified. mir-399 is thought to target mRNAs coding for a phosphatase transporter. The mature sequence is excised from the 3' arm of the hairpin. The record is from Rfam by way of RNAcentral. Lineage: Eukaryota; Viridiplantae; Streptophyta; Magnoliopsida; Poales; Poaceae.